AACGAACGCUGGCGGCAUGCCUAACACAUGCAGGUCGAACGAGACCUUCGGGUCUAGUGGCGCACGGGUGCGUAACGCGUGGGAACCUGCCCUUAGGUUCGGAAUAACUCCCCGAAAGGGGUGCUAAUACCGGAUAAUGUCUUCGGACCAAAGAUUUAUCGCCUUUGGAUGGGCCCGCGUUGGAUUAGCUAGUUGGUAGGGUAAAAGCCUACCAAGGCGACGAUCCAUAGCUGGUCUGAGAGGAUGAUCAGCCACACUGGGACUGAGACACGGCCCAGACUCCUACGGGAGGCAGCAGUGGGGAAUAUUGGACAAUGGGCGAAAGCCUGAUCCAGCAAUGCCGCGUGAGUGAUGAAGGCCUUAGGGUUGUAAAGCUCUUUUACCCGGGAUGAUAAUGACAGUACCGGGAGAAUAAGCUCCGGCUAACUCCGUGC
Molecule: ribosomal RNA, 434 nt
Filed under: uncultured bacterium
Lineage: Bacteria
Description: partial 16S ribosomal RNA
Rfam family: Bacterial small subunit ribosomal RNA
Source: RNAcentral